CUCAAUAUCAGUACGUAUUCUAAAUGUUCACCUCGAAUGUAUAUUGUGUGCAUUUACCUUCGAACAAUCAUUCAGAAGAGUUCACCCAAAAAGAUAACCCGCUGAAAAUGUCGGGUAUGACUACCAUUUUUACAGGUAUGAGUGGUUUGUGUAUUUGUUGUAAUUCUACACCUUUUCAUAUAUUUUAAUGAGUGUAUUUCUGGAUGAGCAAGGGUUGUUAAAACAUAAUUGGAGAACAUAAGAAUAGGGUUUUCGAUUAUGAUUUUCUGGACCACAUUUGAUUGCGACAAUCAGCAAUUAUAAGGUAAUUACAUGAAACUAAUGUGAGGUUAGUUCACACACGUUCAACAGGCUUUGGACCUUUGAUUCUGUUUAAUAUCAUUUAUCUUUGGACAUAAUUCUCCUACUUUAUUUCAAUGAUAGAAAACAUGUUUUCUUUAGUUUGUUUAUAUGUACAUUUUACAAUGUAUAUCUAGUUUUGUGUAUAACCCACAUGACUUCUGCAAUGGUGACCAAUAACGGAUGUUAUGACGUAGAUACAACAGCCUGUCAGAGCUUGGCGCGUGUAAUUGACGUAUGCUGCCACGCCUGCUUUUCCUCAUUAUGUCGAAGAUCGUGCGAAGAAUGUUGUAUGUACAUGUGUUCUUCAACUGAAGAAUGAGAAUGUCUUUUAAAAGUAAACUUUGUGUGAAAAGCUUAUUCAAUUGGAGGCUUGCUUUUUUAAUUGAUUAAAAGUCUGUCAUCCAUAAAAAAAAAAUCAUGUAACUAUAGAUGCCUCAUCAACGUUUAAAUCUCAUACAAUAUUAUUGAAUAAAUGAUCCUAAAGGUACAUAAAUUUAAGGCCAAAUUACAUCAGUGUCAUGAUACUUCUUAACCUUUCAAUAAGAAUUGCUACUUAUGAAUGUGAUUGUUUUAGCAAAGGUGUGUUAAAACAAUGAUAUAGAUUACACUUUUUAAUCAAAAUGAUGCUUCAAUAAUGAUACAUUGAACGUUAGGAGCGAGAUUCGCUCAUGACCGACUAGGAGGGAUCUAAACGCGCGGGAUUGGGAAGAUCGCAGAUCAAUUUAGGUAUAGAUCUACAUAGUUUGAAGAUUUUAUUUUCAUAAAAAAAUUCUCUAGACAACACAAAGAAAUAUUAGACCCACAAAAUUAAUAAAGCUACAGUAUUCUAGUUGUACUUCCUAUCAAUAUAUUUUUGUUGUUCUGUGAUUUCUGAUUUGUUAAUUCUUGAAAUUGGUCAUUUAUUCGUCUAUUUAAAGGUCUGCAGCCAGCUGUUUGGUACCACUAUGUUCGGGCGGGAGGUUAAAAAGCGUGCCAAUAUGGGGGGGUCUAUGCUUCAAUACAAACCUGUGCAAUAACCACCCGCCUCCACCAGGAUCUCUUGGCAAACGAACCUUAAAAUCAAUGAAUAGAAACAAUUCACAGGAAAAGAGUCGUUUAAGUAUGAAUUGAAUUGAAUUUUAAUGAAUGCGUCGCUCUCAUAAGCAUCGAUUGUAUUUAAUUCUUAUUUAGCUAUCAUUUUAUGUACCUUCACUGUUGAUACCAGACGUGGCUCAUGACAAGAUAUAGACACAGGCGCGUGCCAAAGAAUGCUUUCAUACCGAAGUGAUCUGUGCAGCAUGCAGUGCUUUAACGAAGCCUGCCCAACAGCAUGCAGCUCUUGUAUUCAGUGUUACACGUGCGACCAUAUCCAACAUCUAGGCUUAUUUAGAAACAUAACCACAUGUUUAAAUGGAGAGAAAUGUUAUGUCUUAGCAUCGAUGUCCACCAUGACUGGAGAGCACAGCUAUAGAGUAGGAUGUAUGCACCAAAAUGUAAGUGAUUUACAACCAUGCACACGAGGCGUAUUGGGUAUAUUAUUUAUACUCAUUACCUAUCACGAAUGUCCUCUUUCUAUUUAUCUAUCUACUGGUGUCAUUACUGCAAAUUUUGUUCACAUUUUAACGGAAUGUAUUAAAAGACAUUUAUGUUUGUGUCAAUAUGUUAUCAUUUGCUACUAAUUUGCAUUCUGUACCUUUUUUUUCAUUUCAAGGCAUCAAAUGUAUUGGUCUGCUAUACCGGAUACAGUGGAGUCAAUCUGAAUUCGAAACUACAUGCAUGUUUUGUUUAUUUCGCAUGUCUCAAUGGAUAUUUCUUUCAGUCAUGUAAAGACGUCAAAACCUUUAGAUGAAGUACCACAAAUUUUGAGCUCAGCAUGGGGCUCAAUGCUGUAUUAAUAUGUGUUCUUUAUCGUACCGUGACACAUGGUAUCUGGUUUUAAGAGCGUAUGUGAAAGAUCCUUAACUUACCACUACCCGUAGUUGUAGCCUUAAAGACCUACAUUUUGAUUUGCUUUUUUAUUUUGACACUUAAAAUUCCUGUCUCUCUGGCUGACAAAGAAAACAAUGAUAGUGAAAAAUUGCCAUUGAUAUACAUUCUAGGUAAUAACAAAGAAAACAUCAACAUUUCAAACUGAAAUAUGUUUUACACAUACGUAGCUGUGAAACGUAAUCCACUAAAUGCAUGCAUUCCGGGUGCUGAUAUUACCAGAUGCAAAGUAUUGCCCCCAAGCACAAUAGGUAUACAAUAUGUGAUGCAUAAACAAACCACGAAAUCCUGUAUUAUUUUAGGAAAUAAGUGUAAAUGCCCCAAUUUUGUUCCUGAAAAAACAAAUAACAUAUGGCGAGCUUAAAACAUAACAAUCGACACAUGAGUAAUGUUUUUUACGAAUUUACAUACAGGCAUGUAGCCAGCUGAUGCAUGUUUUCCUGCGCCAUUUGGUAAACGCGGCGAUUCUUUUGAGCUCCACAUCGGUGGUGCCUGUUGUUUGGGGUCGCUUUGUAAUGACAACAUACCUUCAAAUCCGACCACUACAAGCACUACAUCUACGACAAUCACAAUGCGACCGACCACAAUAUCAACACACAUUCCGAGCCCGACGUCUAUGUUUCCUGUACAAACCACAUCCAAAUCAGGAGCCAGUAAAGAUCCACUGGGUUGUGACUAUCCAAACAACCGUGGAUGUCCGGUAACACACACUGAAUUUAAUGGGAAGUGUUUCCUGAUAUCCGAUACCCCCAUAGAUUUUAUUUCUGGCAAGCUUUACUGCGCUCACCAUUGCUCUCUGAUUUCUGAAGACUUCAGUUCUGUUAUACGACAAGUAAUCAGAUUCAGCAGGGAACAGCUACACGAUCAGUCAACCAGUGUAUAUAUCGGAGUUCAGGACAAGAAUCAAGAUGGUCAUUUUACUUGGAUUUCAUCCGGGUCACCAGCGUUCCCGCCUCAAACUCCACGACAGGGGAAAUAUUGCGCCACGUUAAACAUCGACUCCAUGCGUCCAACAGCUGUGACAUGUACAGAAAUGUAUUAUGUUCUCUGUGAGGCAUUCUAUAGGUCAUGAGUGUGUUGAUAAUGGUGAUGAUUUGUUUAGUUUACAAUACAUAGCUUGUGAUGUUGAAAUAAACAAGAUAUUAAAGCUUGCAAAUUUCUAAUCAAUACAAAUACUACUGAAUAGUCA
Molecule: RNA transcript, 3496 nt
Organism: Ostrea edulis (European flat oyster)
Lineage: Eukaryota; Metazoa; Mollusca; Bivalvia; Ostreida; Ostreidae
Exons: 6
Source: RefSeq, a predicted model, not a curated record